This is a long non-coding RNA of Cryptomeria japonica (Japanese cedar), 747 nucleotides long. RefSeq lists it as uncharacterized. The transcript is spliced from 3 exons. NCBI's taxonomy places the organism in Eukaryota, Viridiplantae, Streptophyta, Pinopsida, Cupressales, Cupressaceae. The record is from RefSeq and is a predicted model, not a curated record.
CCCCAAAAAACCAUGACACGUGCUUUUUUCAAAUGCCCGCGCCAACGUCCACAUCCCACACGUUUAAUUUCCUGCGAAUGUGAGGAGAAGUUCAGAUUUGAAAGGGCAGAAAACCGAAAUUAUUCAAGAUUUUCUCCAUGAUAACGAGCAGAGAAGAAUUCUAACUUCUGCUGAAUAUGUGGCGUUGUUUUUUCGUGGAGAUUGCAGGUUACAUGGGUGGAGCAUGCAGAAUAUGAUAAUAUUGAGGUGCACAGGAAAAGGAUUGCAUUCCUCGCAGCAACAAACACUCCUAUUCCUGCCAUAAAUAUCACUGCAGCUGGAGCAUGAUGAAGCUUGCUAAGAGGAUGACAAAUAAAUUCUGUGGUGGAGUGAGUGCAUCUAGUGGGCACUCGUAAACUAAACUAUCUUAUGGUAAUUGUAAUGGUAAUGGUAAGGAUGAUAUCCAUGUAAUGACAAGGAAGAAUGUUGAUGGCCCUGGAGAGCCUAUGGAUGUAAUUCUCAGUGCAACAACAUCUAUAUGGGUUCCUGUUUCUCCAAAUUGAUUGUUUGAGUUCUUAAUAGAUGAGAGACUAAAAAAUGAGGUAUGGCCAGACCAAAUAUUUCUCUUACAAAUUCCAAAGUUAUCAAAUUGAAGUUCUCUCUGUGAUCUUGAGAAAAUAAGUCAUAUCAAUAUCCAAAAAUGACCAAAACAAUUCAGUGAGACUAAAUAAGUUUCUGGCACUUUUUGUUGUGUAUUAUACUUUUCAA